AUUGAACGCUGGCGGCAGGCCUAACACAUGCAAGUCGAACGGUAACAGGAAGCAGCUUGCUGCUUCGCUGACGAGUGGCGGACGGGUGAGUAAUGUCUGGGAAGCUGCCUGAUGGAGGGGGAUAACUACUGGAAACGGUAGCUAAUACCGCAUAAUGUCGCAAGACCAAAGAGGGGGACCUUCGGGCCUCUUGCCAUCGGAUGUGCCCAGAUGGGAUUAGCUUGUUGGUGGGGUAACGGCUCACCAAGGCGACGAUCCCUAGCUGGUCUGAGAGGAUGACCAGCCACACUGGAACUGAGACACGGUCCAGACUCCUACGGGAGGCAUCAGUGGGGAAUAUUGCACAAUGGGCGCAAGCCUGAUGCAGCCAUGCCGCGUGUAUGAAGAAGGCCUUCGGGUUGUAAAGUACUUUCAGCGGGGAGGAAGGGAGUAAAGUUAAUACCUUUGCUCAUUGACGUUACCCGCAGAAGAAGCACCGGCCAACUCCGUG
Molecule: ribosomal RNA, 490 nt
Filed under: uncultured bacterium
Lineage: Bacteria
Description: partial 16S ribosomal RNA
Rfam family: Bacterial small subunit ribosomal RNA
Source: RNAcentral